This 658-nucleotide long non-coding RNA is filed under the name Equus asinus (donkey). RNAcentral's name for it is "lncRNA (ENSEASG00005028433.1)". Lineage: Eukaryota; Metazoa; Chordata; Mammalia; Perissodactyla; Equidae. The record is from RNAcentral.
GGCUUAGAUUCCGCAAUGGAUUAUGGCCGCUCGACUGCCUCCCGCUUGCGGCUCUGGCCUGGCGGCUGGGGAGAAUCUGCUGCUUGCUGCGAACCAGGAACUUUCAUGUUCAGCAGCCAGAUUGUGUUUUUAGUUCUCACAACAGCCCUUUGAGGGAGGAGCCAUCAGCACUAGUUUAUGGACGGCAGGUGGACCUCCCUGAUCAAGCGGCUGGCUCACGCCAAAUUGAAGACUGGCCAUCAGCACCGAUGCCAAGGCACCCCACAGUCUACAGAAACGGUCUGAUGUCACCCCUGCAGCGAUUCCAGGACUCUGGUUUCCUGGGUCUGUCAUCCGGAUUGUCCCUGUGGGACUAACAGCCUGGGAAGCAGGGAGGACAACUAUUACCCACAGUGCUUUACCUAUGAGCACCUGUGCCAAUGUUCAUUUAGGAUAAAUUCUAAGAAAAAUUUCUCAGCUGAAGGGAAUGAACAUUUAAAUUUAAUAAAUAUUGCCAAAUCACCUUCUAAUAAUGUACCAAUUUGUACUUCGAGUAAUAAUGAGUUUCCCCUCACCCUCACAAACACAGCUUUCAACAAAUCUUUUGGACACUUUUUGUGAAUGAUGGAAAUUUCAGGUUUAUUUUGCAUUUUAUUUAAUUGGGAAUAAGAGUGAACAU